RNAcentral lists this ribosomal RNA (450 nucleotides) under uncultured bacterium. Its description in RNAcentral is "bacterial SSU rRNA". It matches the Rfam family "Bacterial small subunit ribosomal RNA", at positions 354 to 796 of the family's 1533-position model. The record is from RNAcentral.
GUGGGGAAUAUUGGACAAUGGGCGCAAGCCUGAUCCAGCCAUGCCGCGUGUGUGAAGAAGGCCUUCGGGUUGUAAAGCACUUUUGUUGGGAAAGAAAAGCAUCCGGUUAAUACCCGGGUGUUCUGACGGUACCCAAAGAAUAAGCACCGGCUAACUUCGUGCCAGCAGCCGCGGUAAUACGAAGGGUGCAAGCGUUACUCGGAAUUACUGGGCGUAAAGCGUGCGUAGGUGGUUUGUUAAGUCAGAUGUGAAAGCCCCGGGCUCAACCUGGGAAUUGCAUUUGAUACUGGCAGACUAGAGUGCGGUAGAGGAGAGUGGAAUUCCCGGUGUAGCAGUGAAAUGCGUAGAGAUCGGGAGGAACAUCAGUUGCGAAGGCGGCUCUCUGGACCAGCACUGACACUGAGGCACGAAAGCGUGGGGAGCAAACAGGAUUAGAUACCCCAGUAGUCC